RNAcentral lists this small RNA (111 nucleotides) under Arabidopsis thaliana (thale cress). RNAcentral describes it as "ATSL168990". The record is from RNAcentral. Lineage: Eukaryota; Viridiplantae; Streptophyta; Magnoliopsida; Brassicales; Brassicaceae.
UUUUUUUUUUUCUCAACUUCUGGUGAUAAUUUAAGUUCUUAAAAAAAACUUUGACCAUCAAAAAUAUGAUAUCUUCUUAAGAUACAUUAAACUAGUCAUUCAUGAAAAUUU